This is a non-coding RNA of Coffea arabica (coffee), 300 nucleotides long. NCBI's taxonomy places the organism in Eukaryota, Viridiplantae, Streptophyta, Magnoliopsida, Gentianales, Rubiaceae. The record is from RefSeq and is a predicted model, not a curated record.
CUUAUUACGUGCACUUUCUUAAUGGGAAAAACUUGUUCUUUUAGGCUGAGGAAGGCGAUGAUGAUGAUGCUGCUGAUGAAGCAGAUAGUGAUGAUGCAGACGUCAAAUCAGAAACAAAGGAAGAUGUUACUGCCGCAGCUGAUGAAAAUGUUAAAGACGAGCUGUAGGAAAGUACGUGCGAGUACUGUGGUUGGCCCAACAUGCUGCUGCGAAGAAGAGCUUUGUUGGCAAUUGAGCUCUCGACAUUUUUCAUUUUUCUUUUGGCUUUUAGCUGUAGAAUUGCUGUUUAGGGAAAAAAGA